Molecule: ribosomal RNA, 497 nt
Filed under: uncultured bacterium
Lineage: Bacteria
Description: partial 16S ribosomal RNA
Rfam family: Bacterial small subunit ribosomal RNA
Source: RNAcentral
GAUGAACGCUGGCGGCGUGCCUAAUACAUGCAAGUCGAGCGAACGGACGAGAAGCUUGCUUCUCUGAUGUUAGCGGCGGACGGGUGAGUAACACGUGGAUAACCUACCUAUAAGACUGGGAUAACUUCGGGAAACCGGAGCUAAUACCGGAUAAUAUUUUGAACCGCAUGGUUCAAAAGUGAAAGACGGUCUUGCUGUCACUUAUAGAUGGAUCCGCGCUGCAUUAGCUAGUUGGUAAGGUAACGGCUUACCAAGGCAACGAUGCAUAGCCGACCUGAGAGGAUGAUCGGCCACACUGGAACUGAGACACGGUCCAGACUCCUACGGGAGGCAGCAGUAGGGAAUCUUCCGCAAUGGGCGAAAGCCUGACGGAGCAACGCCGCGUGAGUGAUGAAGGUCUUCGGAUCGUAAAACUCUGUUAUUAGGGAAGAACAUAUGUGUAAGUAACUGUGCACAUCUUGACGGUACCUAAUCAGAAAGCCAAGGCUAACUACGUG